CCUACGGGUGGCUGCAGUGGGGAAUAUUGCACAAUGGGGGAAACCCUGAUGCAGCCAUGCCGCGUGUGUGAAGAAGGCCUUCGGGUUGUAAAGCACUUUCAGCGAGGAGGAAAGGUUGUUGGCUAAUACCCAGCAACUGUGACGUUACUCGCAGAAGAAGCACCGGCUAACUCCGUGCCAGCAGCCGCGGUAAUACGGAGGGUGCAAGCGUUAAUCGGAAUUACUGGGCGUAAAGCGCACGCAGGCGGUUGGAUAAGUUAGAUGUGAAAGCCCCGGGCUCAACCUGGGAAUUGCAUUUAAAACUGUCCAGCUAGAGUCUUGUAGAGGGGGGUAGAAUUCCAGGUGUAGCGGUGAAAUGCGUAGAGAUCUGGAGGAAUACCGGUGGCGAAGGCGGCCCCCUGGACAAAGACUGACGCUCAGGUGCGAAAGCGUGGGGAGCAAACAGGAUUAGAUACCCUUGUAGUC
RNAcentral lists this ribosomal RNA (465 nucleotides) under uncultured bacterium. Its description in RNAcentral is "bacterial SSU rRNA". It matches the Rfam family "Bacterial small subunit ribosomal RNA", at positions 338 to 795 of the family's 1533-position model. The record is from RNAcentral.